Dipodomys ordii (Ord's kangaroo rat) is the source of this 35-nucleotide non-coding RNA. Lineage: Eukaryota; Metazoa; Chordata; Mammalia; Rodentia; Heteromyidae. The record is from Rfam.
CUGUGUCUUACUUCAACAGUGUUUGGACGGAACAG